UACGAAGGGGGCUAGCGUUGUUCGGAUUUACUGGGCGUAAAGCGCGCGUAGGCGGCUUUGUAAGCUAGAGGUGAAAGCCCGGAGCUCAACUCCGGAACUGCCUUUAAGACUGCAUCGCUAGAAUUGUGGAGAGGUGAGUGGAAUUCCGAGUGUAGAGGUGAAAUUCGUAGAUAUUCGGAAGAACACCAGUGGCGAAGGCGACUCACUGGACACAUAUUGACGCUGAGGUGCGAAAGCGUGGGGAGCAAACAGG
This 253-nucleotide ribosomal RNA is filed under the name uncultured bacterium. RNAcentral's name for it is "partial 16S ribosomal RNA". It matches the Rfam family "Bacterial small subunit ribosomal RNA", at positions 524 to 776 of the family's 1533-position model. The record is from RNAcentral.